This 254-nucleotide ribosomal RNA is filed under the name uncultured bacterium. RNAcentral's name for it is "partial 16S ribosomal RNA". It matches the Rfam family "Bacterial small subunit ribosomal RNA", at positions 524 to 776 of the family's 1533-position model. The record is from RNAcentral.
UACGGAAGGGGCAAGCGUUGUUCGGAAUCAUUGGGCGUAAAGGGCGCGUAGGCGGCAAUUCAAGUCAGCUGUGAAAUCUCCGGGCUUAACUCGGAACGGUCAGCUGAUACUGCUUUGCUAGAGUGCGGAAGGGGCAAUCGGAAUUCUCGGUGUAGCGGUGAAAUGCGUAGAUAUCGAGAGGAACACCUGAGGUGAAGACGGGUUGCUGGGCCGACACUGACGCUGACAGCGCGAAAGCCAGGGGAGCAAACGGG